GUAGACAUAGUUUAACUAAAACAUUAGAUUGUGAUUCUGAAAUCGGAGGUUAAAAUCCCCCUGUCCACC
RNAcentral lists this transfer RNA (69 nucleotides) under Peltorhamphus novaezeelandiae (New Zealand sole). Its description in RNAcentral is "tRNA-His". It matches the Rfam family "tRNA". From Rfam's summary of the family: Transfer RNA (tRNA) molecules are approximately 80 nucleotides in length. Their secondary structure includes four short double-helical elements and three loops (D, anti-codon, and T loops). The record is from RNAcentral. Lineage: Eukaryota; Metazoa; Chordata; Actinopteri; Pleuronectiformes; Rhombosoleidae.